AUCUUCUUGAAGCGAAAGCUUUAAUCAAGUGUAGUAUCUGUUCUUGAACGCUUAAAAUCGUUCAGCUAUCUAAGUGGUAGCAUUCGAAUUUAAAAUUAUUUUUUAUUCGAGGUUUAGUUGUUAUUAUGAUAUUGGCAUGUCCUUUAUUUUACAUCUAAUAAUGUAUUUGCUCUGUGUUGCACAUUUUCAGAGUUUAAAAAAAGUACAACCUCA
Non-coding RNA from Dictyostelium firmibasis, 213 nucleotides. The record is from the annotation of a GenBank genome assembly. NCBI's taxonomy places the organism in Eukaryota, Evosea, Eumycetozoa, Dictyosteliales, Dictyosteliaceae.